Molecule: ribosomal RNA, 259 nt
Filed under: uncultured prokaryote
Description: partial 16S ribosomal RNA
Rfam family: Bacterial small subunit ribosomal RNA
Source: RNAcentral
UACGGAGGAUGCGAGCGUUAUCCGGAUUUAUUGGGUUUAAAGGGAGCGUAGGCGGGAGGUCAAGUCAGCUGUGAAAUGUAUCUGCUUAACGGGUACACUGCAGUUGAAACUGGUUUUCUUGAGUGCGUAAGAGGCAGGCGGAAUUCGUUGUGUAGCGGUGAAAUGCUUAGAUAUGACGAGGAACUCCUAUUGCGAAGGCAGCUUGCUGGGUCGUUACUGACGCUGAUGCUCGAAGGUGCGGGGAUCAAACAGGAUUAGA